Molecule: ribosomal RNA, 1366 nt
Filed under: metagenome
Description: bacterial LSU rRNA
Rfam family: Bacterial large subunit ribosomal RNA
Source: RNAcentral
UUUGUGUAGGCAAAUCCGCACGACUAGUCGAACCUGAUAGUACAGCAAAGCUUCGGCAGCGCUGAUAGUGAUCCUAAUCAGACCUCCGAGAAAAACCUUUAAGUUAUGGUAUAGACAGCCCGUACCGCAAACCGACACAGGUGGGUGGGAUGAAUAUUCUAAGGCGCUCGGGUGAGCCGUGGAGAAGGAACUAGGCAAAUUGACGCUGUAACUUCGGGAUAAAGCGUACCAUCUUCGGAUGGUCUCAGUAAAAUGGUACAACCAACUGUUUAGCAAAAACACAGGGCCCUGCAAAAUCGAAAGAUGACGUAUAGAGCCUGAUACCUGCCCGGUGCUGGAAGGUUAAGGAAGGAUGUUCGACGCAAGUCAAAGCUUCUGACUGAAGCCCCAGUAAACGGCGGCCGUAACAAUAACGGUCCUAAGGUAGCGAAAUUCCUUGUCGGGUAAGUUCCGACCUGCACGAAUGGUCUAAUGAGUUGUACACUGUCUCCUCCACGAGCCCGGUGAAAUUGUAGUAUCGGUGAAGAUGCCGGUUACCCGUCACGGGACGGAAAGACCCCAUGAACCUUCACUACAACUUUGCAUUGAUUUUGAAUUUUUGAUGUGUAGGAUAGUUGGGAGACUUUGAAGGAGUGUCGCUAGGCAUUCUGGAGUCGUCGUUGAAAUACCAACCUUUAAACAUUUAGAAUCUAAUCCCUAACGGGAAACAGUGCAUGGUGGGUAGUUUGACUGGGGUGGUCGCCUCCUAAAAUGUAACGGAGGCUUGCAAAGGUUCCCUCAGUACGGUUGGUAAUCGUACAUAGAGCGUAUUAGUAUAAGGGAGCUUGACUGUGAGGCUUACAAGCCGAUCAGGGACGAAAGUCGGCUAAAGUGAUCCGGCGGUUCUGUAUGGAAGGGCCGUCGCUCAAAGGAUAAAAGGUACUCUGGGAUAACAGGCUGAUCUUACCCAAGAGCUCAUAUCGACGGUAAGGUUUGGCACCUCGAUGUCGGUUCGUCACAUCCUGGGGCUGGAGAAGGUCCCAAGGGUUCGGCUGUUCGCCGAUUAAAGUGGCACGUGAACUGGGUUCAGAACGUCGCAAGACAGUUCGGUCCCUAUCUGUGAUGGGCGCUAGUAAAUUGAGAAGACAUGACCUUAGUACGAGAGGACCGGGUCGUAUGUUCCGCUGGUGUAUCUGUUGUGCCGCCAGGUGCAAUGCAGAGUAGCUAUGAACAGCAAGGAUAAACGCUGAAAGCAUCUAAGCGUGAAACCUUCUUCAAGAUGAGUUUACUUUUAAGGGCCGUGGAAGACUACCACGUUGAUAGGCUAUAGGUAUAAGGGUGGUAACAUCGAAGCCGAGUAGUACUAAUUACCCGUAAGCUUUAUCAA